AUUGUUGCAGAGGUACAUGAUAGGCAUUCUUCAAAUUCAUGCUUGUCAUACUCCAGGAAAACAUGGAAGCUGCAGAAGUCUGGAAAAUAGAAAAAAAGGUCCAGGUCAAUGUCAUAGAAGCAAGGCCUUGUAGGCAAUCCUGGCAUUGUGCUCAUCUAGGGGAACAAUGAACUAGAAGUUACGGUCCUGCAACUGUAAGCUGAUAACCACACUGUGCAUAUAUACCCAUGAUGAAGUGAAAGACCAUAUUGUUCUUCGUGGGCUCAUAAUUUCACAUGUAUUGAAAUGAAAAGAAUCAAGCCAUCUGUUACUCCAAUCCCUUUUGCUAAAUCAGGUUCAGAAACCUUAAACAGAUUCACUUAUGCCUCAGAUUGCUUACAAAU
Molecule: long non-coding RNA, 383 nt
Organism: Lacerta agilis (Sand lizard)
Lineage: Eukaryota; Metazoa; Chordata; Lepidosauria; Squamata; Lacertidae
Exons: 2
Source: RefSeq, a predicted model, not a curated record